CCUACGUGUGGCAGCAGUGGGGAAUAUUGCACAAUGGGGGAAACCCUGAUGCAGCGACGCCGCGUGAGUGAAGAAGUAAUUCGUUAUGUAAAGCUCUAUCAGCAGGGAAGAAAAUGACGGUACCUGAGUAAGAAGCCCCGGCUAACUACGUGCCAGCAGCCGCGGUAAUACGUAGGGUGAAAGCGUUAUCCGGAUUUACUGGGUGUAUAGGGAGCGUAGGCGGCAGUGCAAGUUCGGCGUGAAAGGCGGGGGCUUAACCCCCGGACUGCUCUGGAAACUGUACGGCUGGAGUGCAGGAGAGGUAAGUGGAAUGCCUGGUGUAGCGGUGAAAUGCGUAGAGAUUAUGAGGAACACCAGUGGCGAAGGCGGCUUACUGGACUGUAACUGACGUUGAGGCUCGAAAGCGUGGGGAGCAAACAGGAUUAGAUACCCCUGUAGUC
This 440-nucleotide ribosomal RNA is filed under the name uncultured bacterium. Its description in RNAcentral is "partial 16S ribosomal RNA". It matches the Rfam family "Bacterial small subunit ribosomal RNA", at positions 338 to 795 of the family's 1533-position model. The record is from RNAcentral.